Molecule: long non-coding RNA, 303 nt
Filed under: Gossypium barbadense (sea-island cotton)
Lineage: Eukaryota; Viridiplantae; Streptophyta; Magnoliopsida; Malvales; Malvaceae
Description: long non-coding RNA (GBAR_LNC001678)
Source: RNAcentral
ACAAUCACGGAUAGAAUGAUCUAAAGAUCCACAUUUAAAACAAGCCCGAUCAUACAGUCUAUAAUUUCCAGGUUGUCUUUUACCACAGUGUUUGCACUCAGGUCGAUCGAAUCGGACAUUUCUAGCACUAGCAACAGAAGCAGCUGGAGCUCUGAAGCUCAAAUAUGAUCUUGCACGAUCUCUACUCGGAUGUCCCCCAUUAGCCUUUGAACGACUAUAAUCGUCUCGGAAUUUCUUUGACAUAGACUGAAAUAAUUUACUUGUAGAUCUCUUUCUGAGCCAGCUUUUAUUUUCUCUUUCCCG